GAUGAACGCUGGCGGCGUGCUUAACAUAUGCAAGUCGAACGGAAAGGCCCUGCUUUUGUGGCGUUCUCGAGUGGCGAACGCGCGAGUAACACGUGAGUAACCUGCCCUUGACUUUGGGAUACUUCAGGAAACUGGGGCUAAUACCGGAUAGUAGCUCCUGCUGCAUGGUGGGGGUUGGAAAGUUUCGGCGGUUGGGGAUGGACUCACGGCUUAUCAGCUUGUUGGUGGGGUAGUGGCUUACCAAGGCUUUGACGGGUAGCCGGCCUGAGAGGGUGACCGGCGACAUUGGGACUGAGAUACGGCCCAGAAUCCUACGGGAGGCAGCAGUGGGGAAUAUUGCAGAAUGGGCGGAAGCCUGAUGCAGCAACGCCGCGUGCGGGAUGACGGCCUUCGGGGUGUAAACCGCUUUCGCCUGUGACGAAGAGUGAGUGACGGUAAUGGGUAAAGAAGCACCGGCUAACUACGUG
RNAcentral lists this ribosomal RNA (467 nucleotides) under uncultured bacterium. RNAcentral's name for it is "partial 16S ribosomal RNA". It matches the Rfam family "Bacterial small subunit ribosomal RNA", at positions 28 to 507 of the family's 1533-position model. The record is from RNAcentral.